RNAcentral lists this ribosomal RNA (253 nucleotides) under uncultured bacterium. Its description in RNAcentral is "partial 16S ribosomal RNA". It matches the Rfam family "Bacterial small subunit ribosomal RNA", at positions 524 to 776 of the family's 1533-position model. The record is from RNAcentral.
UACGGAGGGUGCAAGCGUUAUCCGGAUUCACUGGGUUUAAAGGGUGCGUAGGUGGGCAGUUAAGUCAGUGGUGAAAUCUCCGGGCUCAACCCGGAAACUGCCAUUGAUACUAUCUGUCUUGAAUAUCGUGGAGGUAAGCGGAAUAUGUCAUGUAGCGGUGAAAUGCUUAGAUAUGACAUAGAACACCAAUUGCGAAGGCAGCUUACUACCCGAAUAUUGACACUGAGGCACGAAAGCGUGGGGAUCAAACGGG